This is a transfer RNA of 85 nucleotides. It matches the Rfam family "tRNA". Rfam says of the family: Transfer RNA (tRNA) molecules are approximately 80 nucleotides in length. Their secondary structure includes four short double-helical elements and three loops (D, anti-codon, and T loops).
GCGGGCGUGGCGGAAAUGGCAGACGCGCUAGACUUAGGAUCUAGUGAUUUGUUUCGUGCAGGUUCAAGUCCUGUCGCCCGCACCA